CAGAAGGAUCUCUUUCUGGAGAUCUUUCCUUGGUGGAGCUUUCCCCCUGGAGUCUUCUGAUAGGGCCAGUGUGCCCACAACACCAAAAGGAGUCUGAACUUGAGAGCAAAUACGAAACCCUCAAACAACCCACCCAGUGGAACGAUGAGAUUUUAUUCAAUCAAGGAACAGCAUGAGACAGAACAGAAUACCAAUUCCACCCAGUGCUGUCUGGUGUCACAGAAGGCCUUUUUCCUUCCAUCAUACCUGAGAGUUGGCUGUGUGUCUGCUGUCUGUUCUCAGGCCUCAUUUCACCUGGAUGGAGAUCAGCUCAUCUUUCUUCCUCCACGAAUCUGACCAAGCUCCCUUUCAAUGUUUUAUUUUCCAACGCUGAAAACAAUUGGUGGUGAAUUCCACACAGACAAUUUACACGCUCUGUGGAGGUAGCCUUUAUUUUCUGCUUGUUUUGAGCUUGCCAUCUGACAGUUGCAGGAUACUUCUUGGAAGAAAUGACAGACAAUUCUCACCUCUCUUCCAGGUGGGAGAUCCGUGGUCUAUUCACCUGUUUCUCACACAGAUUUCAUGUCAUGCCCUUCAUCAUCAUCUCUCCUGCCUGGCUUCUGUUUUCUUCCCGGUUUUGCACCAGCCUUUCUGAGAUGGGGAGAUCAGGAUUGCAGGGAACAUUCAAGAAGUGAAUA
Long non-coding RNA from Lagopus muta (rock ptarmigan), 677 nucleotides. RefSeq lists it as uncharacterized. The record is from RefSeq and is a predicted model, not a curated record. NCBI's taxonomy places the organism in Eukaryota, Metazoa, Chordata, Aves, Galliformes, Phasianidae. The transcript is spliced from 3 exons.